This is a long non-coding RNA of Branchiostoma floridae (Florida lancelet), 2268 nucleotides long. RefSeq lists it as uncharacterized. The record is from RefSeq and is a predicted model, not a curated record. Lineage: Eukaryota; Metazoa; Chordata; Leptocardii; Amphioxiformes; Branchiostomatidae. The transcript is spliced from 2 exons.
AGGUCACCAGAGUGAAGCCAUGGGAGAGAAAAGCAAACGCAGCCCCUCAAUGUUGAUGUGACUGCCUGACACUUCACAGUGGUGAAAAACCAAUGAUUGGUCUACGAAUUUGCAUCCCGUCCUGAGGACUUCAACCCUUCUCGGAUGAGUGACAACAGCUGGGAUUCGAACUCGUGCACACAAGGACUCCAACGACGGGACUUUGCACGCCACAUCAACACUGUGAAGCAGUCUGUUUAGUUGACAUUGACAUUGGCCUUUAUUACAGCGUCACAUCUACAUACAGAUUGACUUAUUUCUCAGCAGUUAUUGUUCUUAUUGAAAGAAACUUUAAAAACUUUUCGGCCUUUGUCUGGUUAAGUGUAGGAAAAGCGCAAGUAUAAGAAGAAAGACUCCAUCACACUUUGGAUUUGGAUUUAAAUUCUUCUUAGAAUAAAGAUGUGGUGGAAUUCAAAACGACUCAACUGAAACACCUUUCACGUCACUUUUAUGUUUCUUUAAUUUACCACAACUACAUCGUUGGCCCGACGGAAAUCAUUAGUUACCUGUUUUAAUCAUGAUUACAAAACAAUUUAACAAAAAAAGAAGCAUAACAACGUGCAAGAUUAGCACAGAAUACAAAAUGCAUACUUUAUGAUUUAUAGUCUUUUUCACUAACAUGUGAAUCAACUUGCUGAGGAGUUAAAUCGCAAGGGGAAAGAAAACAGGAAACGUUAGGCAAGUAACCAGAGCAAGGGCUCCAGCCUUGUGGGUUACAGCACCGGGAUUGAACUGGACGACAAACGUUGUCUCGGCAAUGAAGGGAAAAUCAUAGGUGGGAGAUUGUGUUGUCCUAAAGGAUACUCAUUGUCGUUGAGGAGAGUUCUGAAGAGCUAACUCUAGAUCGUAUACUGUUUUUGAUUCCGUACUAUGUGCUAGGGGUCAAGAUCAUAGAUAGUGGGGUGAUAAUAUCUAUAAUUACUGUACAUUAACUGCAGCUUUGUUAUUUCGGCAACGUGUGUGCAAACCUUGGCUACUGUACACCACCCGAGUCCGGGUAUGGACACCCAAAUUAUAUGCCUUGUCAUAAGGACUAUGAUGCUGGUGCGGGCUACUUGCCCGGGAUGAGAAAUACUCAAGGCUUUCAAUUGCCGACAAUGUACAUUUGGCUUGAAACAACACCAGGGCCCCUCAUCCCCAUGGGGGCUUAAAUACAUAGUGCCGGCGAGGGGAUCGCCAGAGCAAAGCUCCGAGGCAUGGUGGUUACUUGCACACGACACGAGUCCAAAAGAACUGCGAAAUACAGGUCUGAUCAGGGCCGGUGGAGGUAGAGUUCUGCUAUCUCCUUCCCCCAUUGAUUAGCUUCUGUUUGAUCUUUCGCAAUGAUCAAAAGAGCCUAACUUUGGAAGGUUCCAAUGUUGAUGUACAAUUAAAGAUAUGAUCAUUCCCUUGUGUGUUUUUGACCUCAAGCACCUCGUACGGAUACAAAUGCGGCAUGCGAUUUGGACUUGACUCUUGAGAACCCCCUCCACGGAGGUGGGUAACCUUUAUGGACCGCACUAUCUUUCACCUAUGGCUUUCCUUGAAUUUGUCGAGACAAUGUCUGUAGUCUGGUUUGAUCCAGUUUCUGUAACCCAGAAGACCGGACCCCCUGCCUGCACUGGUUACUUGCCUAACCUUUUCCGUGUUCUUCCAACUUGUGAUUCCACUCCUGAGUAAGUUGAUGUGCAUGUUUGCGACAAGGGCUAUGAAUGGUAAAGUAUGCAUUUUGUAUUCUGCACUAUCUAGCUUCUUGUUAUACUCUUUUGUUCAAUUCUUUUUGUAACCACUUUAAGAACAGGUAAGAUAGUUACGUAAAUUUAGCUGGGAGAUCUCUACGUGCAAGCGUGGUAAAUUAAAGAGACACCGGGGUGAUUGCAUUUAUUUGUUUUAGCUGCGUUCUUUGACCUCUAUUUACAGCUUCUACAUCAUUUGUGGAAAAAAUACUACAGGUAAAGUCAAGAAAUGAGUUUAUAACAAGUUGUUUUUUCAAUGAGUUAGUAAAUUUCAUUCACUCACCUGGUAAUGAAGUGCAAGUUUAUGUGAAGUUUAGCUCACAAUCAUGUGAAUAAGUGAUGGCCAGAAAACUGUCACAUACAAGAUUUAUAAUGAUAUGAUAUGAAAUAAAAAGUACGUCAUUUCAACACAGUGUGUCUUCAUGAAUAAAUUAUUCAAUAUAUGUAUUUUCAUGCAUGUUUGUGACAUAUAUCCUCAUAAUAAAAUCCUUGUACAGUUUUGUGUACUUUAUUU